This 460-nucleotide ribosomal RNA is filed under the name uncultured bacterium. RNAcentral's name for it is "partial 16S ribosomal RNA". It matches the Rfam family "Bacterial small subunit ribosomal RNA", at positions 338 to 795 of the family's 1533-position model. The record is from RNAcentral.
CCUACGGGAGGCAGCCGUGAGGAAUAUUGGUCAAUGGACGCAAGUCUGAACCAGCCAUGCCGCGUGCAGGAAGACAGCUCUAUGAGUUGUAAACUGCUUUUGUACGAGGGUAAACGCAGAUACGCGUAUCUUUCUGCAAGUAUCGUACGAAUAAGGAUCGGCUAACUCCGUGCCAGCAGCCGCGGUAAUACGGAGGAUUCAAGCGUUAUCCGGAGUUAUUGGGUUUAAGGGGUGCGUAGGCGGUCGGAUAAGUUAGAGGUGAAUUCCCGAGGCUCAACUUCGGAAUUGCCUCUGAUUCUGUUCGGCGAGAGAGUAGUUGCGGUAGGCGGAAUGUAUGGUGUAGCGGUGAAAUGCUUAGAGAUCAUACAGAACACCGAUUGCGAAGGCAGCUUACCAAGCUACGUCUGACGUUGAGGCACGAAAGCGUGGGGAGCAAACAGGAUUAGAUACCCUAGUAGUC